UCUGAUGCGCAUGGCUCCAGAGCAGCAAGAGACAAGGAUCCCAGGCUGAAAUCCUAAGAGGGGACGCUGGGUGAGUUCUGCAAAAGUCACUGAGCUUUGACCUCCUGGCAGUUCAAGGGGAACCAUGCAGGAUGAAGAUGGAUAUAUCACCUUAAACAUCAAGCCCCGGAAACAAGCUCUCAGCUCAGAAAUACAUCACAGACAGGAUUACUUCAGUCCGUUGGAUUGGAUUAUCACGCCAGAACUCUAAGAAAGACUGGAUGUGGGAAGACAGCUCAGUUCUUCACAAUAAUUCGAUUGAUCUUUCUAGGAAUACAGAAGAAAACAUGAAUUGUGCUUAUCUUCAUAAUGGAAAAAUCCACCCAGCUUCCUGUACAGAGAGACAUUACUUAAUAUGUGAGAGAAAUGCUGCCCUGACAAGAGUGGAACAACUGCUUUAAUGCAGAAGGACCGGCAGGAUGUCAGAGAAGUGCUUGACCAUGCAAUAAAAGAUCUGGACAAAGCACCCAUAAAA
This 514-nucleotide long non-coding RNA is filed under the name Rattus norvegicus (Norway rat). RNAcentral's name for it is "long non-coding RNA NONRATT020816". The record is from RNAcentral. Lineage: Eukaryota; Metazoa; Chordata; Mammalia; Rodentia; Muridae.